Ictalurus punctatus (channel catfish) is the source of this 1062-nucleotide long non-coding RNA. NCBI's taxonomy places the organism in Eukaryota, Metazoa, Chordata, Actinopteri, Siluriformes, Ictaluridae. The record is from Ensembl.
GGGUGAAAAAGGGUGGGGGGGUGGGGGGGGGACAGGGUACUUCUCUUAACAAAGAGAAAAAUCCACCCCCUGCGGCUCAGUCUGGUGUUAAGAGCGAUUUGCCUUUACUCGCAGCCAGGCAGGUAAAGAACGGCUCCUGUUUCAGACCGCGGGGGAGUGUGUGUGUGUGUGUGUGUGUGUGUGUGUGUGUGUGUGUGCGUGCAAGACUGAAUACAUUAGUGUAUUUGUGCAAGGUAGGCUGCGUUCAGGCUUGCCACAUUUGCAGUCCGCUGUAGGUGGGUGUAUUGAUGAGCUGUGUGUGUGUGAGAGAGAGAGAGGAGUGUGUGGCGUGUGUAUGUGUGUGUGUGUGUGAGAGAGAGAGAGGAGAGUGUGUGGCGUGUGCCAGGGCAGCUGCAUGGCACCGAGCCUGUGCUGUAAAUAUGUGACCUCAGGCACAUCAGUAGAAGCUUUUAUUUAUUUAUUUAUUUAUUUAUUUACUUGCUUGCUUGCUUAUUAAUAAAUGUAUUUGAAACAAGAGCUCCUUUAAUCCUCCUUUAUUUUCCUGUAACAGCGUGUCGUAAAAGGUUUUAUUCCGCUUUUACUACAGCGACGUACCGGCGCGAUGUACAGUGCUUUUAUUCAUUUAUCUAUGACCGAAUCGCGUCUCGCGGUCCGUUCAUCUUCAUCCGUUUACCAGCCCUAAAGUCUUCUUAUUAUUUUUCCCCCCUUCUUUUUUUUCCUUUUCUUUAUUUCGCUCUCUUUUAACAUUAAUAUCCAAAAAACGAAACGCAGCCCGUCACGUUACCGAGCGACCGCGAAGAAGCUUCCCGGGGCUGUCGGGAAACGUUUAGAAAGCGCCGACGCCGGAGACUCCUUCCGUAACCGUUAGAGAAACAUCUCCUCGCUUUAAGGAAAACCUCGUCACCGUACCGACGAUUAGACGCGUUCGCGGAGGAGUUGUUACUAUAGAAACACUGACACAUCGGAACGGGCGCAGGUAUAUAGAGCCGUCGGAACGUUUCCGACCGAUCAGGAAUCUUUCGUUCUAACAUUUAUUCUACACAAUAUAUAUGUAUAUACAUA